This 3484-nucleotide unclassified non-coding RNA is filed under the name Leishmania donovani. RNAcentral describes it as "gene:LdHU3.36.4160(CDS-product:hypothetical_prote in_conserved)". Lineage: Eukaryota; Euglenozoa; Kinetoplastea; Trypanosomatida; Trypanosomatidae. The record is from RNAcentral.
CUACUUCCUGCUUUCUCCUUUACUGUUGUUGGUGCUUCACUGUUCGCACGCCUUCUCCUCUAUAGAACGGCUCCCCCUCGCACGUACUUCAUCUGCCUCCGGCCAACAGCCACGUUGCCUUCUCUCCUAGUGUGCGCGCAAGGCAAACCAAGCAUCGCCUGCUUCAUCACGCACACACACACAAAAAAAAAAACGGAGGAGUGGCACAAACAAAAAACCAACACAGCCAAAAAAAACGAGACAUAGUUUGUUUCCUUUGCUGUGGUUCUGUCUGUCUGACGGGCAUACACGCCACCUUUUCCUCCCUCUUCCUCCCCCCUCCUUGCUCCACACGCCCCCACCCUUUCUCUCUCUUCUGAUAGACGCCUUUCUCGCCGCAGUGGGGCGGUGGCAGGCCGAGUCAAGAUACGGGCAUACAAGAAGGGCUUGAGCUGAGGCGCUGGAGGUGUGCAUACGAAUUUCCAAGGGAAAGGGCAGCCUUAAGAGACUGCCCCCUUCAUUGAGCAUCACCAUCUCAGUGAACAGACGAUUUUGAUCGCCCCCUCCUCGAUAGCUCGCUCGCUCUCUGUGUAACUCAGCACCUAUCUUCUCUGUCCCGGUCUUGUUAGCCCUCCACUUUGCGCGAUCCUUUCUUGCAAGAAAAUGUUUAGGAUGCCUGCAGUCAAGAAGCCUCUCUCGAGCCACCGGCCGAGCGAGGCGCGCAAGUCCAUUGAAGACCCUGCGCCAAGCCCUUACGUACCCGCCACGCCGGCGAGCGUCAAGAGUGUGACCUUUGAUUGGACUCAGGCCUGCCCCAUCUACACCAUCAAGGGCAACAGCGUUUGGCACAAGGGCGGUGGGGAGCUGCCGUACCGCCCUGUCAUUGGCGAUCUCGCGAUGCGGCCAAACACAGGCAAAUAUUUCUUCUCCUACCGCAUCAACACCGACAACAGCCGUGUCGGCUUCUGCACCAGCUGCGUUUACGUCAGCGAUGAAGAUCUGCAGAACAUAGAGUUCGGCAAGGCUGUUGCGAUGGACUCGGAGACGAGUGAGUCGCUGCUGGACCAAAACCCGGCGCAGCCGAGCUUUCUGCAGGCCAUUGGCGCCGUUCCUACGCUACCUAGCAAGCGUUGGGAGGCCUACAUGGAUCUACAAACCUCGAAGGUGUUCGUGAACGGUGUGGAGAAGCACAGUUUCUGGCGUCUUUUCGUGCCCAUCAGUGGCGGCGUUGCCUCCUUCGUAGUGGACACCGACGCCGGUGCAGUGCAAAUGUUUAUGGACCGCAAGUACGUGGGCAUGAUGCUGGAUGAGCAGAGUGGGUUGAAGGGCAACACUGUAUACCCCUGUGUGGGCAUCUCCGGGUGUGACAUGGCCAAUCGCAGCAUCCAGAGUGGGUGCAUGGGUGCCUUUGUCGAGCCAGCCCACGCGUUCGACUGUCUCUACUAGUCACGGGUGGGCUCUGCUCAACCUAGUGGAUGCUAUUUUGUUUGCUCGCUUUUCCUUUGCUCUUUUCUUAUGGUCGUUAUUCUUGCCGUUGCCAUCCCUACUAACCCCCCCACCGCAUCAGUCUCCACGCUUGCUCUCUCCGAGCGUGCAGGAUGGCGUAUCUGUAUGCGUGCGUGUGCCAGAUCGAGAGGAAGAAGGCACCGGGCCUGUGUAUCACAUCGGUAGUCGGGGUUAAAUGCGUGUAUGUAUUUGUACCUCGGUGGCCAUCUUUGAGUGUACCUCAUCGUAGUCCCCAAGAGACAUGGCUCGUUGUGCGGGUGCGUUUCCUUUCAUUUUUAUUUCCCCUCUCCCCCUCUUCCUUCCCCACGUCUUGAGUGCCGCCUCGGGUUGCCUGGAUAGUGGACGUGUGCACAGCAGUCCCCCUCCCCCUCCCCCAAUCCCAUCUUUACUCAAGAUACCGUGCACCCCUUUUGCUAUCUUAUUUUUGUCUAGUGGCAUGACCAUGUAUAUAUGCUUAUGUACACUUUCGCUUGGCUGUGCGUAAACCGUGUGCGACGUUUUUUCUCGUUCUUUUUCCCGCUUGUAUGUGUGUCCGCGUAUGCCUUGCCUUGGUCUAAUUGCUUGUUCUCGCGGUUCGUUUUCUUCUUUGUCUUCACACACCGUGAAGGUGAGAGCGAUACAACCGCCUUCGCUUGGCUUCCGCAACGCUCCUCCGGCCCACCAACGGACACACACACACACACACGUCCCCCUCCUCCCUCCCCAUCAUCAUCAUCGCUCUCCUCUCACGAAUGUAAUCGUUUUUUUUUUUCACUUAGCUGUCAGGGAGCGCGUGAUUUGAUGUACAGGUAUUGCCCUCUCCUACGCCCCAUAUCCCCCUCCUCCCUGCCUUUACGUCUUCUGUGUCUUUGCGUUUCUUUUCCUGUGUGUGUGUGUUCUUAUUUUGUUGCCAUUCUCGUUCGGAUUGACGUAUCUCUCGGCUCUCUUCUUGUUUUCCGUCUCUUGCUCUGCCUUUAUGUAUGCUUUCAUGGUUUGCAUUGAUGGGCCAUGUGAGGCUACCGCCAGUUUUGGACGACGUGCAUGUGAACGGCUCUUUAUAGGUCUCUGCAUGCGCGCAUGUGCCUCCUUUAUCCCCUUCCCUUUGUGUGUGUGUGUGUGUCUUGCGCUUACGAGGCUCCGUCGUUUUUCAUGUGUCUCUCUUGUCGUGUAUGCGUGCUUGUGUGCGUGGGUGUGGGAACGGAGAGAGGGUGGGCGGGUAUCGUUACGACUGUUGUUUGCUUUGUGCCGUUCUUUCUUCGGAUGUGUGCAUGUGAGUUUGUCUGCUUUCUCCCAUGGUUUGUUUUCCCGUGUUUCUCUGCCUACUUCCGUGCUGCUCGUCUGGCGGUGUUUUAUUUGUGGAUGUUUGUCUUUGUAUCGUUGGUCUUGCCCCAAUACACAUGUAUGCUCAGUUGAUACUCUUGGGGCGCGCGCUCCUCCUUUUUUUGUCCCAUUCCGCGCGCGCGCACACACGUUAUUGGAACGCAGGCACUUUCAACGAUGACUCGCUCUCUCUCUCUGUUCCUCGUUUGAUUCGAUCCCUCUUCCAAAUGUUUCGGUAUCUGCACUACAUGCUGGGCUAGCCCACCACUCGGUGCGAAACGAACUUCAGAAAAAAAAACACGAAGACAAAUUUUAAGCAAGCGUGCAAUAUAAGGGACAGUGACCGACACUGUAUUCGAUUGCGCGUGCGGUGGCACGAGCACGUUUGCCUGCUGAGUCGCCGUCGCUCCUACUCUCUCGCUUGCAGUCUUGUUGACUGCACUGCACGCCCACACAGCAUCGCAGCACUUUGAAUCUGGUGCACAUGCUACAAGAAUGCUCCAGAAAAGGCCCUGGCUCCCCCCACCCACCCACCCUUGCUCAUGGCGAAACGGCGGAGACCUACAUCUCCGCUCAAGUCCCUCUCAAGCCUACAAGCUGUCAUGCAGCCGUUCUCCGCAUGCACCCGUUGUCUACGUGUCCUCUUCCUUUUGCCUCCUCUCCUUGUGUCUAUUUCCUGUCUCUCUCCCUCGCUCCGUAG